CUGCAACGUCCACCUCUUCAUUCAAGAAGGGCCAUAGCUUACGUGAGAAGCUUGCAGAAAUGGAAACCUUUAGGGACAUCUUGUAUAGACAAGUUGAUACUUUACAGAAAUAUUUUGAUACCUGUGCAGAUGCAGUUUCCAAAGAUGAACUCCAGAGGGAUAAAGUGGUAGAAGAUGAUGAAGAUGAUUUCCCUACAAUGCAAUCCGAUGGGGACUUUUUACAUAACAGUAAUAGCAGUAAGGAAAAAUGUGUGUCACCUUUUUCACUGAAAAUUCAUAUGAAUCUUAUGAUAAGUCUGAUACAAGAUAGGUAUUUAUGCUCUUUUCUAAGCAGAAAAUGACAAGAAUAGUUAUUUGUGACAGGAAGUUCUUAUUCGUGUUAAGAUAAUCAUAAAAAGCAGCUAAGGAAUGAUAAUCUGAGUUAUUCUUAACUCAGACAUAUUAAUGAAAGCCUGUCAAAUUGUAAUUUCCUGUUCUGUGUCCAAAGCUAUUUCCACUACAAAAUUCUGUUGAAACGGCUGCAUCAUUUGGAUACUGGGGACUGAGAUUUAUACCAAGCAACUGUAGUUUUUCUUGCAAGUGUUAUCUGCUUUAGCAGUGUGGCAGAGCACAAUGCUUUUUCAGUUAGGUGUGCCCUAUUAUGUUUUCUCUAAAUUCUAUGGCUAUGUAAUGGCUAAGUCAACAUUGUAUGACAUCAUAAUUUUAGCUCUUUUUUUAACUCUAUUUUCCAAUGUUAUGAUGAACAGAAUUCUGAUUUUUAUUCUUAUCUUAAAUGGUAUGAUUAUAGUCAUUGUACUCACUGCAUCCAUGCAAUACAUGUGAAGAACUCGCCCAA
Molecule: long non-coding RNA, 835 nt
Organism: Neopsephotus bourkii (Bourke's parrot)
Lineage: Eukaryota; Metazoa; Chordata; Aves; Psittaciformes; Psittacidae
Exons: 3
Source: RefSeq, a predicted model, not a curated record